UGGGAUAAAAACCCCGAGAGAGAGAGAGGAAGAGAAUGACAGUGAGCUCGAGAGAUGGAGAAGGCACUCACGGAUGAGAGAGAUAGAAGAGAAUGAGACUUGAUGAACAUGGGUGAAUGGAACAAGGCUGGCCGAAGGUUCUUUUCGUUGUAGGGGCAUAUUAUUCAGUGAGAGCAGCCCUCCACCGAGCAACAUUCUCCUGCUGUUUGUCCUUUUCAUGGUUAGCAAAUGCUUCUGUAAAGCAACCGAUCUGCUUCCGAACAUCUGAAGGAUCAACAUUGUAAAACCCAGGAAGGACCAUCUGCCGGAGGGAUUUAUCGUUCCUGCACUUCAUGAUCUCAGAGAGCUCCUCGAGACACCAACUUGAGUUGCAUAGUUUCUCGAGAGGACCACCACCAAGAUCCGGGAGCUCUGGAUUGGGCCUCUUAAGGCUGGAUGGUAUGUGUUGACCUCUCUGGAGAUUGCUAUCUAUGAACGUGUUCUCCUUUCUCGUCCAAGUACUAGGAGAGGAAGGAGUGGCGUGUGUCUGGACCUCAGAAGCUCAGGAAGACAUCGUACUUCCAUCGCUUAUAAGAAUAACUCCCCGAGACAUCGUGCCUCCUCCAUCGCUUAUUGGAAACAGAGUAUCCAAACUCAGUAGCCAUAGAUGUGCAAAACUCUCGGAGAGCUCUCUCAGGUAAUUUGUCUAGAAGGGAGAGGCGAGCUCAUCAUCUACUGUAUUGUUCAAUGUCUGUGAGCCUCCUAAUUGCUCUUGGACUUUUUUAAGUAGUCUGGCAUCUUCUAGGAAACUCUUUUCCUAUUAUGAAGUAUUAGUAGUAAUGGAAUGAAUUGGGUUUUUCUGUC
This is a non-coding RNA of Punica granatum (pomegranate), 843 nucleotides long. The record is from RefSeq and is a predicted model, not a curated record. NCBI's taxonomy places the organism in Eukaryota, Viridiplantae, Streptophyta, Magnoliopsida, Myrtales, Lythraceae.